GAUGAACGCUAAGCGGGAGGCUUAACACAUGCAAGUCGAGGGGCAGCAUAGGGUAGCAAUACUCUGAUGGCGACCGGCAAACGGGUGAGUAACGCGUACGCAACCUACCCUGUACAGGGGGAUAACCCGGAGAAAUUCGGACUAAUAUCCCGUAAUAAUAUCCGGAGGCAUCUUUGGAUAUUUAAAGUUUCGACGGUACGGGAUGGGCAUGCGUAACAGUUAGCUGGUUGGUAAGGUAACGGCUUACCAAGGCUAUGAUGUUUAGGGGUCCUGAGAGGGUGGUCCCCCACACUGGUACUGAGACACGGACCAGACUCCUACGGGAGGCAGCAGUGAGGAAUAUUGGUCAAUGGGCGCAAGCCUGAACCAGCCAUCCCGCGUGCAGGAAGACGGCCCUAUGGGUUGUAAACUGCUUUUCCAGGGAGAGAAACUUACGCACGUGUUGCGUGACUGACGGUACCCUGGGAAUAAGCAUCGGCUAACUCCGUG
Molecule: ribosomal RNA, 489 nt
Filed under: uncultured bacterium
Lineage: Bacteria
Description: bacterial SSU rRNA
Rfam family: Bacterial small subunit ribosomal RNA
Source: RNAcentral